RNAcentral lists this ribosomal RNA (451 nucleotides) under uncultured bacterium. RNAcentral describes it as "bacterial SSU rRNA". It matches the Rfam family "Bacterial small subunit ribosomal RNA", at positions 349 to 793 of the family's 1533-position model. The record is from RNAcentral.
CAGCAGUGGGGAAUAUUGCACAAUGGGCGCAAGCCUGAUGCAGCCAUGCCGCGUGUAUGAAGAAGGCCUUCGGGUUGUAAAGUACUUUCAGCAGUGAGGAAGGUGGAGUCGUUAAUAGCGGCCUCAUUUGACGUUAGCUACAGAAGAAGCACCGGCUAACUCCGUGCCAGCAGCCGCGGUAAUACGGAGGGUGCGAGCGUUAAUCGGAAUUACUGGGCGUAAAGCGCAUGCAGGUGGUUUGUUAAGUCAGAUGUGAAAGCCCGGGGCUCAACCUCGGAAUUGCAUUUGAAACUGGCAGACUAGAGUACUGUAGAGGGGGUAGAAUUUCAGGUGUAGCGGUGAAAUGCGUAGAGAUCUGAAGGAAUACCAGUGGCGAAGGCGGCCCCCUGGACAGAUACUGACACUCAGAUGCGAAAGCGUGGGGAGCAAACAGGAUUAGAUACCCUGGUAG